This 2612-nucleotide ribosomal RNA is filed under the name Cutaneotrichosporon daszewskae. RNAcentral describes it as "bacterial LSU rRNA". It matches the Rfam family "Bacterial large subunit ribosomal RNA". Lineage: Eukaryota; Fungi; Basidiomycota; Tremellomycetes; Trichosporonales; Trichosporonaceae. The record is from RNAcentral.
AAUAUGGUAAUUUAGGUGUAAGUAAUUAAAGUGAUUAUUAAGGAUGCCUAGCAAACAUUUAUUUAAAGGAGGGCAUAAGUCCAAAAGUUAUUAUAAUUAAAUAGAUUAAUAACGAUCCUAAGGGAAACCGAAGAUUAAAAACGCAGUGAACUGAAACAUCUAAGUAACUGUAGGAAAGGAAAUCAACCGAGACUCCAUGAGUAGUGGCGAGCGAAAGUGGACCAAGCCUAUAUUAACAACCAAAUAAUCUCAUAGAAUUCUUUGGAAAAAGAAGUCCGUAGAAGGUGAAAGCCCUGUAUAUGAGGGUUAAUAAUAUUAAACAAGUAAAGUGGAAGAUAAUCUGCUUUAAUAUUGGGGAACCAUCCUCAAAGGCUAAGUAUAAAUGUUUAGCGAUAGUGAAGAGUAACGUGAGUGAAAGGUGAAAAGUAAGUCGAUGACUGUUGAAAUAGACCUGAAUUAGUAAUCAUAUAAGCAAUUAGAGCAUUUAAAUUAAGAACGAAUGUAAUAAUGUACCUUUUGUAUAAUGGGUAAGCGAGUUGAUGGUAGUAGCAAGGUUAAUAACCCUAGCGAAAGCGACUGACAUAUGUGCGGGAUUAGUUACUAUCUUCAGACCCGAAACGUGGUGAUCUAUCUAUGACCAGAUUAGUAAAUAGAUCGAAUGGUUCAAUGUUGCAGUAUUGUCCAAUGAGUUGUAGAUUGUCGGUGAAAGGCCAAUCUGACCACGAUAUAGCUGGUACUCCUCGAAACAUAUUUAGGUAUGACUUCCUGGUUUAGAUUUAUGCGGGUACAGCACUGAUUACCAUACUGAGUAUUUAUACAAGGUUUAAUUGGGGGGUCGUUAAGACUUUACCAUUGGUAUUUAACCUCGGAAACAACAUAAAUUGAUACAGGAAUUUCAGACUGCUCAUGAUAAGGUGGGUAGUCGAGACGGAAACAGCCGUGAACAUAGAAUAAGGUCCCAAAGUAAUGAUUAAGUGAAAUUAAGGAAGUGAUAGUUCUCAUACAACUAUAAAGUGAGCUUGGCAGUUGCUAUCUUUUAAUGAAAGUGUAACAACUUAGUAGUCUAAUGAAAUAUUGCGCCGAAGAUACACGGGUCUAGAUCAUUCACCGAAACUAUGUCUAUAUAUAUUUAAUAGAUUUUAGGUAUAUAUUAGGGUAGAGGAGCAUUCAGUAUGAUAGAAGAAUAGUGUUUCAUUAUUUGGACAUAACUGAAGAGAAAAUGCUUACAUGAGUAACGUAGAAAGAAGUUAUAAUACUUCUCGCCGAAUACGAAAGGGUUUCAAAGAAAUGUUAAACAGCUUUGAGUAAAGACGGCCUCUAAGGUUAUUGGCUAAUGUUAAUAAUUGAUGAGUUUGUAGUAGAAAGUCUUUGACCAAGAAAAUAAUACUAUAUUAAUACCGUACCCUAAACUGACACAAGUUCGUAGGUAGAGAAUACUAAGGCGUAGAGAUAAUACUGUUCAAGGAACUCGGCAAAAUGCGUCCGUACACUUGAUAAUAAGGACGACCAUAAUAGGUGUCACAAAAUCGUGAAGCACAACUGUUUACCAAAAACACAGGUAUCUGCUAUGUAUAACAACAUUGUAUAGGUGCUGAAUCUUGUCCGAUGUCUAGAGUAUAAUAUGGGUAUUGAAAGAUAUUUAUAGAACCUCUGAUCAAUGACAGUCUUAACUAUAAGGAUUUUAACAGUAGCGAAAUUCCUUGGCCGUUAAAUGCGGUCCUGCAUGAAUAGAGUAAUGAUGCUUCAGCUGUCUCAAACAGUAUCUCAGUGAAAUUGAAUUAGCCGUGAAGAUGCGGUUUAGGAGUGGGUAGACGGGAAGACCCUAUGCAGCUUUACUAUAAUCAGUUACGAUUUAAUCAGAAAUUAAGUUUAGAGUAGGGGGUAGUCGUUAGACGCAGGUGAAACACCCUCAUUAAUUCUGGUUUUAUAUUACCCUUAAUAGGGAAAAAUGACUGACCGGUAGUUUAACUGGGACGGUUUCCUCCAAUAGAGUAUCGGAGGACUUCAAAGGUAUGUUUUAUAUUAGAUGGAAACUAAUUCAUUAUGUAUAAUGAUGUAACACGUAAAGGUUUAAACAUGCUUAACUGCAAGACUGAUAAGUCAAGCAGAUACGUAAGUAGGACUUAGUGAUCCGGUGAUUCUUUAUGGAAAGAUCAUCGCUCAAGAAAUAAAAGUUACGCUAGGGAUAACAGGGUAAUAGCUCUCGAGAGUUCAUAUUGUCAGAGCUGUUUGCCACCUUAAUAUUUAUUGUAAAUACAAUAAACAUCGGGGAGCUUGUUUGGUAACAAAUAAGUAGAAGCCAAAAUAAUGCUGGAAUAACCAAAAUUAUGGUUAAUCAGCAAGAAUAGUGAAUAAUAAAUUAUUCUUCAACGAUCAAAAAUUGGUGUCCUAAUAUUUAGAACUCAUAAAAUAUUAGGAUAAAUAUAUGAUCUAAACAAUAAUGAAAAUUAUUGAUGUUGACACAUAUUAAUAAAUAGCGAUGUCGACUCACCUUAUCCUCUUGGUGUAUCAGCUAAGAAGGGUUCUGCUGUUCGCAGAUUAAAAAGGUACGCGAGUUGGGUUCAAUACGACGUGAGUCAGUAUGGUUCCUAUCUUCCACUCCAACAAAUAGU